This 27-nucleotide non-coding RNA is filed under the name Rattus norvegicus (Norway rat). The record is from RNAcentral. Lineage: Eukaryota; Metazoa; Chordata; Mammalia; Rodentia; Muridae.
UUCCUCUGCAAACAUUGACUGUGCCUU